This 268-nucleotide long non-coding RNA is filed under the name Solanum tuberosum (potato). RNAcentral describes it as "long non-coding RNA (STUB_LNC008396)". The record is from RNAcentral. Lineage: Eukaryota; Viridiplantae; Streptophyta; Magnoliopsida; Solanales; Solanaceae.
AAAGGCUAGACCAAAAUCUGCACUAGCUAAAUUUGUACUAUCUAAAUUUGUUCCAAGUUUCUAGGACUAGCUAAAUUUGUACUACCUAGGAUCACGAUGCAUGUUGUAUUAGUAGAAAAUCUGCAUUUGCAAAAUCUAUUCAAAGUGUGUCGAAACACCCCCGAACUCCUUGAAUCCCAAAUCGAACUUCCCAAAAUAUCCCAAAACAUUGUAUAAACCUACUGAAAGUUUCAAAUCAAGGAAUGGGGUACUAAUACUUAAAACGAGG